This 379-nucleotide ribosomal RNA is filed under the name uncultured eukaryote. RNAcentral's name for it is "partial 18S ribosomal RNA". It matches the Rfam family "Eukaryotic small subunit ribosomal RNA", at positions 592 to 976 of the family's 1831-position model. The record is from RNAcentral.
CAAUAGCGUAUAUUUAAGUUGUUGCAGUUAAAAAGCUCGUAGUUGGAUUUCGGAUGGGAUUUGCCGGUCCGUCGUUGCGAUGUGCACUGGCCAGUCCUAUCUUGUUGUCGGGGACUAGCUCCUUGGAUUCACUUCCUGGGACUAGGAGCUGACGAGGUUACUUUGAGUAAAUUAGAGUGUUCAAAGCAAGCCUACGCUCUGAAUACAUUAGCAUGGAAUAACACGAUAGGACUCUGGCUUAUCUUGUUGGUCUGUGAGACCAGAGUAAUGAUUAAGAGGGACAGUCGGGGACAUUCGUAUUUCAUUGUCAGAGGUGAAAUUCUUGGAUUUAUGAAAGACGAACUUCUGCGAAAGCAUUUGUCAAGGAUGUUUUCAUUAA